This 395-nucleotide ribosomal RNA is filed under the name uncultured bacterium. Its description in RNAcentral is "partial 16S ribosomal RNA". It matches the Rfam family "Bacterial small subunit ribosomal RNA", at positions 523 to 917 of the family's 1533-position model. The record is from RNAcentral.
GUACGUAGAGAGCGAGCGUUGGCCGGAAUUACGGGGCGUAAAGGGGGAGAAGGGGGCACUGCCGGUCAGAUGGGGAACACAUGGGCCCAACCCAGGGGCUGCAUUGGCAACCGCAUUUCUUGAGUGAAGUAGAGGAAAGGGGACUUCCGGGUGUAGCGGUGAAAUGCGUAGAUAGCAGGAGGAACACCGGUGGCGAAGGCGGCUUACUGGGCUUUUACUGACGCUGAGGCUCGAAAGCGUGGGGAGCAAACAGGAUUAGAUACCCUGGUAGUCCACGCUGUAAACGAUGAUUACUAGGUGUGGGGGGACUGACCCCUUCCGUGCCGCAGUUAACACAAUAAGUAAUCCACCUGGGGAGUACGGCCGCAAGGUUGAAAAUCAAAGGAAUUGACGGG